UGAACGCUGGCGGCGGUGCCUAACACAUGCAAGUCGAACGGGCUUAUCUCCGCGGAGAUUCGGUCAAGCGGGUUAAGUUAGUGGCGGACGGGUGAGUAACGCGUGGAGAACCUGCCCUGUACCGGGGGAUAACAGCCGGAAACGGCUGCUAAUACCGCAUAAGCGCACGAAGGCGCAUGCCUUUGUGUGAAAAAACUCCGGUGGUACAGGAUGGCUCCGCGUUGGAUUAGCCAGUUGGCGGGGUAACGGCCCACCAAAGCGACGAUCCAUAGCCGGCCUGAGAGGGUGGACGGCCACAUUGGGACUGAGACACGGCCCAGACUCCUACGGGAGGCAGCAGUGGGGAAUAUUGCACAAUGGGGGAAACCCUGAUGCAGCCGACGCCGCGUGAAGGAAGAAGUAUCUCGGUAUGUAAACUUCUAUCAGCAGGGAAGAUGAUGACGGUACCUGACUAAGAAGCCCCGGCUAACUACGUGCCAGCAGCGGC
RNAcentral lists this ribosomal RNA (487 nucleotides) under uncultured bacterium. RNAcentral describes it as "bacterial SSU rRNA". It matches the Rfam family "Bacterial small subunit ribosomal RNA", at positions 30 to 518 of the family's 1533-position model. The record is from RNAcentral.